Molecule: transfer RNA, 72 nt
Filed under: Camelus ferus (Wild Bactrian camel)
Lineage: Eukaryota; Metazoa; Chordata; Mammalia; Artiodactyla; Camelidae
Rfam family: tRNA
About the family: Transfer RNA (tRNA) molecules are approximately 80 nucleotides in length. Their secondary structure includes four short double-helical elements and three loops (D, anti-codon, and T loops).
Source: Rfam by way of RNAcentral
GGGGGUAUAGCUCAGUGGUAGAGCAUGUGAGUAAGCAUGGGCGAGGUCCGGGUUCAAUCCCCUGUAUCUCCA